GGUCCCCCUUUUAUAGGCGGAGGAGGCAACGGAUUGAUGGUGACAUUUGUAACCGUCUGGUAGUGGGCCGCCCAUGGUCAGGAGAAUUUAUUGCGAAGGGUAGUGGAGUAGACCCGUGGCUAUUGUCAUAGCCCACCACGUGGGGCCUGUUGCAGGUAGUGGAGCGGCGUCCGUUGCCGCUAGUUGUCAGUGAGUAGUGGAGUUGUGCAGCACCUACCGCAG
RNAcentral lists this long non-coding RNA (222 nucleotides) under Elaeis guineensis (African oil palm). RNAcentral's name for it is "long non-coding RNA (EGUI_LNC064836)". Lineage: Eukaryota; Viridiplantae; Streptophyta; Magnoliopsida; Arecales; Arecaceae. The record is from RNAcentral.